GAUGAAGAACGUAGCAAAAUGCGAUAAGUAAUGUGAAUUGCAGAAUUCAGUGAAUCAUCGAAUCUUUGAACGCACAUUGCGCCCGCCAGUAUUCUGGCUGGCAUGCCUGUUCGAGCGUCAUUACAACCCUCAGGCCCCCGGGCCUGGCGUUGGGGAUCGGCGGAGCCCCCCGUGGGCACACGCCGUCCCCCAAAUGCAGUGGCGGUCCCGCCGCAGCUUCCAUCGCGUAGUAGCUAACACCUCGCGACUGGAGAGCGGCGCGGCCACGCCGUAAAACACCCAACUCUUCUGAAGUUGACCUCGAAUCAGGUAGGAAUACCCGCUGAACUUAAGCAUAUCAAUAAGCGGAGGA
Molecule: unclassified non-coding RNA, 352 nt
Filed under: soil metagenome
Description: partial contains 5.8S ribosomal RNA, internal transcribed spacer 2, and large subunit ribosomal RNA
Rfam family: 5.8S ribosomal RNA (bases 1-120)
Source: RNAcentral